Molecule: long non-coding RNA, 314 nt
Organism: Canis lupus familiaris (dog)
Lineage: Eukaryota; Metazoa; Chordata; Mammalia; Carnivora; Canidae
Exons: 3
Source: RefSeq, a predicted model, not a curated record
UUCUUAGGGCUAUGAGAAACCUGGAAAUUACGAGGCAAACCACGAAUGAAUUGCUGUUCAGUCAAGUUACACAACUAAUAGAAAGUUAAAUUCCUCUGUGGCCAAACACAACAUCUAGUUUUCAAUCUAUCAAAGAAUAACAAGCCAGGAAGUGAGCACAUUACAGUUGCUAAGGAAAGUGAGAAUCAGGUCAGGACUGACUGUUUUCUUUAAAACCACUUAAUUGAGGAUCAAGGAAAAGGACAGUAACAUUUAUUAGGUACCACGUGUUCUGUGUGCACUAUUGUAUUUAAUUCUCACAGCAACUAUAUGAG